RNAcentral lists this transfer RNA (86 nucleotides) under Ignavibacteriota bacterium. RNAcentral's name for it is "Ignavibacteriae bacterium (activated sludge metagenome) tRNA-Leu". It matches the Rfam family "tRNA". From Rfam's summary of the family: Transfer RNA (tRNA) molecules are approximately 80 nucleotides in length. Their secondary structure includes four short double-helical elements and three loops (D, anti-codon, and T loops). The record is from RNAcentral. RNAcentral also lists the same sequence under 2 other names. Lineage: Bacteria; Pseudomonadati; Ignavibacteriota.
GCCCGGGUGGCGGAAUAGGCAGACGCAUCGGACUUAAAAUCCGAAGCCUCGUAAGGGGCGUGGGGGUUCAAGUCCCCCCCCGGGUA